Molecule: ribosomal RNA, 251 nt
Filed under: uncultured bacterium
Lineage: Bacteria
Description: partial 16S ribosomal RNA
Rfam family: Bacterial small subunit ribosomal RNA
Source: RNAcentral
UACGGAGGAUUCAAGCGUUAUCCGGAUUUAUUGGGUUUAAAGGGUGCGUAGGCGGUUUGAUAAGUUAGAGGUGAAAUCCCGGGGCUUAACUCCGGAACUGCCUCUAAUACUGUUAGACUAGAGAGUAGUUGCGGUAGGCGGAAUGUAUGGUGUAGCGGUGAAAUGCUUAGAGAUCAUACAGAACACCGAUUGCGAAGGCAGCUUACCAAACUAUAUCUGACGUUGAGGCACGAAAGCGUGGGGAGCAAACA